GAUGGGGAAAAUGACAUGGAGAUGCUGGAACUAGCGUCAUUGGGAGUCGUUAUGAGCAACGGUGCAGAAAAGACAAAGGCCGUGGCUGAUGUGAUUGGUAUGAGCAACGACGAAGACGGUGUUGCUGAUGCCAUUUACCGAUAUGCCUUCUGAGUUCUACCUGAUGCCAUUUACCGAUAUGCCUUGUGAGUUCUACGUACCCACACCACCACAAUUUCACACUCGACUCGAGCUUUUACAACAAGAGAUGCCAAAUUUCAUUUAGGCUAUUCUUCUGAUAGAAAAAAGAAACAUUGUUCAAUUCUUAUUGGGAAAUUGAUUUAUG
This 325-nucleotide long non-coding RNA is filed under the name Brassica napus (rape). RNAcentral describes it as "long non-coding RNA (BNAP_LNC003636)". Lineage: Eukaryota; Viridiplantae; Streptophyta; Magnoliopsida; Brassicales; Brassicaceae. The record is from RNAcentral.